Molecule: ribosomal RNA, 308 nt
Filed under: uncultured bacterium
Lineage: Bacteria
Description: partial 16S ribosomal RNA
Rfam family: Bacterial small subunit ribosomal RNA
Source: RNAcentral
GAGACAGCAGUAGCCGCGGUAAUACGGAGGAUCCAAGCGUUAUCCGGAUUUAUUGGGUUUAAAGGGUGCGUAGGCGGCCUAUUGAGUCAGGGGUGAAAGACGGUAGCUUAACUAUCGCAGUGCCUUUGAUACUGAUGGGCUUGAAUACACUUGAGGUAGGCGGAAUGUGACAAGUAGCGGUGAAAUGCAUAGAUAUGUCACAGAACACCAAUUGCGAAGGCAGCUUACUAAAGUGUCAUUGACGCUGAGGCACGAAAGCGUGGGGAUCAAACAGGAUUAGAUACCCGCGUAGUCCCUGUCUCUUAUAC